This 794-nucleotide long non-coding RNA is filed under the name Helianthus annuus (common sunflower). RNAcentral describes it as "hypothetical non coding rna". Lineage: Eukaryota; Viridiplantae; Streptophyta; Magnoliopsida; Asterales; Asteraceae. The record is from RNAcentral.
GGGUUUUCAUUUCUGAACUAUGUCACGAUGAUCUGUAGGACUGGGACUGGCAAGAAACCUAACAAAACAUUAUCUGUGAAAUGAUGUAGAUAAAAACUCAAAAUUUAGGGAUUCUUCAAGUUCAGGGCAUAAUUGGGUAGAAGGUAACUAGUGUUAGUUAUGUUACUACUAUUUUUUUAAUUAGUAGAUUAAAAAUACUAUACUGUAACUUGUGUUAUUACGACUUGACCAUAGCAGUUGCAACCAAACGAGAAGGGAUCUUGGCAGGAAAAAAGAGAACUACAAUAUCGGAUACGACAAAAGGUGGCCAUAAAGCGAAAGAAGGUAGAUGGAGAAACCAAUGAAGAAUGGGAACAAGAAGUCGAUGAAGGGCAGGUGGUGGGUACCUUUGACGUUGCACAGAAGUUACCCUCUAGUGUAAUACAUGUUACAAACAUGUGUUACGCAUGUUCAACCCCUUUGUUACCAAAAAUCGGGGCUGCACAUAUGUAAGACAUGUUUGUAACUUAUGUUACACUAGAGGGUAACACAUGUAGGAUCGGUUUUGACACCGUACGAUUGCGUAACGAACGUUCGACGUGCGGAAUCCGUGAACGUGCGUGACCGAACACACAAGAACGUACUAAUGACGUGAUUCUAUUGAUAUGAUGUCGUGUACAAAGCCGUGAAUCACGUAGAGAGACUUUCUCUCUCUAGAAUAAAUCUCUAAAUCUCCAAAUAAGCCAAAAGUCUUAAACUUUACAACUAAGUGAUCUAUUUAUAGGCUAAGGGAUAUAAUGAGAAAUCACAUUAUU